GGGAAGGCGGUGGUCGUCGUUCGAGUGGCCUCCUCAGGGUCAGAGUUGAGAAGGGGUGGUGGCUGCUCCUGCCUCCUCCGGAUCCUAGGGCCUGGACCAGCUUGUUCUGAUGCACUGGGUCGCGGUAGCAGAUAAACCAUGGGAACAGCUCUCCUUCCCUCUGCCUUUGAAUUUGUGUGGGGGGCCAGUGUGAGCAGUGAGUGCCCUCACCGGAUGCCCAGGUCCCAGAUGGGUCGCGUUGCACUGGCUCCUCCAAUGUGACUGUCAGGAAUCACUCAGGGGCCCUAGAGUUUCAGAAGCUGCCUCCUGAAAGCGGCUGAACCCUGGAGUCCAGGCCUCCUUUGGGCCAGAACAAGGGGCUCACUGACCCAGAUCUCUCCCCACAUCUUUUUUUUUUUGAGACAAAGUCUCACUCUUUUGCCCAGGCUAGAGUGCAGUGGCAUGAUCUUCACUCAUUCCUGGGCUCAAGGGAUCCUCCCACCUCAGCCUCCCAAGUAGUUGGGACCACAGGCAUGCAUCACCAGGCCUGGCUAAUUUUUGUACUUUUUGUAGAGAUGGAGUUUCACCAUGCUGCCCAGGCUGGUCUCUAACUCCUGGGCUCAAGCAGUCUGCCCACCUCAGCCUCAAAGUGUUAGGAUUACAGGCAUGAGCCACCUCGCCCAGCCUUCUCAGAUGCCCUUAUCAGUAGAGGGAGGGGCAAAGAAGAAAUCUCACUCAUUCACAAAUCGCACAAAAAAUGUUUGUCACCUUAAGAGGGACAGACAGUGCAGGGUCUCCUAUGUGGGUUCUGAGGUCAUUCGGUCUAUGUUCAAAUCCAGCCCCUCCACUUAUGACCUGGGGCCCUUGGGGCAAGUUUCUUAAUUCUUCUGAGGUCUAUAAAAGUGGACCAUACAAGGUGCAGUAGGAAGAGAUCACCAUCCACAGUCGGGCUGAGGCUGAAAGCACGUACCAGAUCAAGUAUGAGGAGCUGCAGACGCUGGCUGGGAAGCAUGGGGAUGACCUGCGUUGUGCAAAGACAGAUCUCCGAGAUGAACCAGAACAUCAGCAGGCUCCAGGCUGAGACUGAGGGCCUCAAAGGCCAGGGGGCUUCCCUGGAGGCCGCCAUCGCAGAUGCCGAGCAGUGGGGGGAGCUGGCCAUUAAAGAUGCCAACACCAAGCUGUCUGAGCUGGAGGCCGCCAUGCAGCGGGCCAAGCAGGACAUGGCACGCAGCUGGGUGAGUACCAGAAGCUGGCCCUGGACAUCGAGAUCGCCACCUACAGGAAGCUGCUGGAGGGCGAGGAGAGCCGUCUGGAGUCUGGGAUGCAGAACUCUUGCUGAGGCUGGAAUGCAGUGGUGUGAUAAUGGCUCACUACAGCCUCAACCUCCUGGACUCAAGUGAUCCUCCCACCUCAGCCUCCUGUGCAGCUGGGACCACAGGCAUACACCACCAUGCCCAGCUAAUUUAGAGCCACUCUCCUGAUGCUCAUUAGCAAGCCAGCCUCUGGCCCCUCCUAGGCUUGGUGAUAUCACCCCUCACCUGUCGCAGCUCCUGCCUCUCUCUUCCCAAAAACCUCUGCAGCUUUCACUUCCCCAGCAUGAUCUUAGUUUAGGCUUUCACAAAAGACUGGAAGAGCAGUGGCCUGGAAGCAACAUCUGAAAUAUCAACUUUUUUGUGACCAGAGACACCAAGGGGGAUUGGCAAGAGGAAAAGAUGGAGUCGGAGGCUCCAGGCUCAGUCCUUGGAGCUCUUCUCUCUGUAUCCUCUUUCUAGGUGAAAUUCACCCAUAUGUUGAUGACAUUCAAAUUUACGUCUCCAACCUGGAUCUCUCUUUUAAACACCAGACCUACUUGAGAUCUCCACUUGGAUGUAUUAUAGGCAUUUCAACAUGGCCAAAACCAACUCCUGAUACUCCCUCCCCACUUGCUCCUGCUGCUGCUCCCAUCUCCGUUAACAGUAAUUCUAGUUUACUAAAUCUCAGAUGAAUGUUUUGGAGUUAUCUUUGACUCCUCUUUUUAUUUCACGCCCAUAUUUAAUGCAUCAGCAAAUCUGGAUGGUUCUGCCUGCAAAAUAUAUCCAGAAUUCAACCACUGCUCACUACCUCCUUUGCCUCCACCCUGGCCCAAGCCACCACUAUCUCUUGCUUGGUUUAUUGCAAUAGCCCCCUAACGGUUCUUCCUACUUCUUCCCUACCUGCAGUGCUUUCUCAAAAUGGUAGAUAGAGUGGUCCUGUUAAAAUGAAAGCCAGAUCAUGUCACUCUUCUGUUUAACACCCUCCAACGGCUCCCAUCUCUGGUAGAGGAAAAUCCCAAGUCUUUACUAUGACCUACAAGGGCCUAUUGGUAGAUUAAAGAUAGUCACAAAUUAUUUGACACUCUUCCCAUUGAAAGGUAUAUUGCUAUCUCCCUUUCCAUGACUUCUUUGACCAAUGAAAUAUGGCAGAAGUGGCCAGUCGCGGUAGCUCAUGUCUGUAAUUCCAGCAUUUUGGGAGGCCAAGGCAGGUGGAUCCCUGAGGUCAGGAGUUCGAGACCAGCCUGGCCAACGUGGUGAAACCCCGUCUCUACUAGAAAUAUGGCAGAAGUGCCACUGUGUCUGUUUCUGUGUCCAGGCCUUAGAAGACUGGCAUUUUCUAUUUCCUGUCUCUUGAAACACUUGCUCUUGGAACCUUCAGACACCAUGUAAGAAAUCCAGCUAUUCUAAUAGAGACCACAUGGAGAGGCCCUGAGACUACAUGGAGAGGAAGAGGGGCCUAGCUGAACCCAGCCUUCCAGCUAUCUCCCCCAGGCACCAAACAUGAGAGUGAAACCACGUGGAAUCCUACAGACCAACCCAUCUGCCAGUGAACAUCAGAGUGACCUUAUUUGAUGCUAGUAGAGCAGAAAAAAAUGCCCAGUUGAAUUUUGUCCAAAUUCCUGAUCCACCAAUUGUGAGAUACAAAAAGGUGGUUGUUUUAAGCCACAAAACUUGAGAUAGUUUCUCAUGCAGAAAUAGAGAACCAAACCAGCUAAUCCGACCUUGCCCCCUUCCAUCAUCUUCAUGACCUCAUUUACUGCCUUUUUUUUCCCUCAUGCCUCUCUAGUCAUCGCUGCUUCCUUGCAGUUCCUCAAAUCCUCCAGACCAGCUUCUGCCCAGGACUUUUGCAUGUGCUGUUCCCAGUGUACAUUCUUCCACCUGCACAUAAAUAAAGCA
Long non-coding RNA from Homo sapiens (human), 3167 nucleotides. Ensembl annotates it as CDK5R2 antisense RNA 1. Its record names the gene CDK5R2-AS1. The record is from Ensembl. NCBI's taxonomy places the organism in Eukaryota, Metazoa, Chordata, Mammalia, Primates, Hominidae.